UGGGCCAAGUUGCAUUUUAUGUUGAGGACCUUUGAAUCGGUCUUCGAUUUUUUAUUUCAAAGUUCAUCCGAAAUUUUCUUGAUUAUUAUGAUCUCUGGCCUGCUCAGCUGGCUCGAAACUCCAUCCAACUGAUCAUUAGUUUUGUCUUAUUACGUCGUCUUAUCCCAACUGAUCCUCGUCCCUCUUUAUUUUGGGCUUUUUUUAUUCUCCAUCCUCACCCUAAGGCCAAAGGUUGGUGG
This 239-nucleotide long non-coding RNA is filed under the name Elaeis guineensis (African oil palm). RNAcentral describes it as "long non-coding RNA (EGUI_LNC023394)". Lineage: Eukaryota; Viridiplantae; Streptophyta; Magnoliopsida; Arecales; Arecaceae. The record is from RNAcentral.